UACGUAGGUGGCAAGCGUUAUCCGGAUUUAUUGGGCGUAAAGAGAACGCAGGCGGUCUUUUAAGUCUGAUGUGAAAGCCUUCGGCUUAACCGGAGUAGUGCAUUGGAAACUGGGAGACUUGAGUGCAGAAGAGGAGAGUGGAACUCCAUGUGUAGCGGUGAAAUGCGUAGAUAUAUGGAAGAACACCAGUGGCGAAAGCGGCUCUCUGGUCUGUAACUGACGCUGAGGCUCGAAAGCGUGGGUAGCAAACAGG
This 253-nucleotide ribosomal RNA is filed under the name uncultured bacterium. RNAcentral's name for it is "partial 16S ribosomal RNA". It matches the Rfam family "Bacterial small subunit ribosomal RNA", at positions 524 to 776 of the family's 1533-position model. The record is from RNAcentral.